This 326-nucleotide ribosomal RNA is filed under the name uncultured bacterium. Its description in RNAcentral is "bacterial SSU rRNA". It matches the Rfam family "Bacterial small subunit ribosomal RNA", at positions 185 to 507 of the family's 1533-position model. The record is from RNAcentral.
AUCGCAUGAUUUGAUUAUUAAAGUUCCAACGGUAAAAGAUGAGUAUGCGUCCCAUUAGCUAGAUGGUAAGGUAACGGCUUACCAUGGCUACGAUGGGUAGGGGUCCUGAGAGGGAGAUCCCCCACACUGGUACUGAGACACGGACCAGACUCCUACGGGAGGCAGCAGUGAGGAAUAUUGGACAAUGGGCGCAAGCCUGAUCCAGCCAUGCCGCCGUGCAGGAAGAAGGUCCUAUGGAUUAUAAACUGCUUUUAUUACAGGAAGAAACACUCCCUCGUGAGGGAACUUGACGGUACUGUAUGAAUAAGGACCGGCUAACUCCCGUG